Molecule: non-coding RNA, 28 nt
Filed under: Rattus norvegicus (Norway rat)
Lineage: Eukaryota; Metazoa; Chordata; Mammalia; Rodentia; Muridae
Source: RNAcentral
UCCAGAAAUGACUUAAAAAUGACCUGCC